UUGCCGGCGACCGGCGCACGGGUGAGUAACGCGUAUCCAACCUUCCGUACACUCAGGGAUAGCCUUUCGAAAGAAAGAUUAAUACCUGAUGGUAUGAUGAGAUUGUAUGAUAGCAUCAUUAAAGAUUUAUCGGUGUACGAUGGGGAUGCGUUCCAUUAGGUAGUAGGCGGGGUAACGGCCCACCUAGCCAACGAUGGAUAGGGGUUCUGAGAGGAAGGUCCCCCCACAUUGGAACUGAGACACGGUCCAAACUCCUACGGGAGGCAGCAGUGAGGAAUAUUGGUCAAUGGACGAGAGUCUGAACCAGCCAAGUAGCGUGAAGGAUGAAGGUCCUACGGAUUGUAAACUUCUUUUAUAAGGGAAUAAACCCUCCCACGUGUGGGAGCUUGUAUGUACCUUAUGAAUAAGCAUCGGCUAACUCCGUGCCAGCAGCCGCGGUAAUACGGAGGAUGCGAGCGUUAUCCGGAUUUAUUGGGUUUAAAGGGAGCGCAGACGGGUCGUUAAGUCAGCUGUGAAAGUUUGGGGCUCAGCCUUAAAAUUGCAGUUGAUACUGGCGUCCUUGAGUGCGGUUGAGGUGUGCGGAAUUCGUGGUGUAGCGGUGAAAUGCUUAGAUAUCACGAAGAACUCCGAUUGCGAAG
RNAcentral lists this ribosomal RNA (638 nucleotides) under uncultured bacterium. RNAcentral's name for it is "bacterial SSU rRNA". It matches the Rfam family "Bacterial small subunit ribosomal RNA", at positions 85 to 720 of the family's 1533-position model. The record is from RNAcentral.